RNAcentral lists this ribosomal RNA (980 nucleotides) under uncultured organism. RNAcentral describes it as "bacterial SSU rRNA". It matches the Rfam family "Bacterial small subunit ribosomal RNA", at positions 453 to 1431 of the family's 1533-position model. The record is from RNAcentral.
GGAAAUGUCUUAUCGAUGACGGUAUCUGCAUAAGAAACACCGACUAAUUACGUGCCAGCAGUCGCGGUAAAUACGUAAGGUGUAAACGUUGCUCGGAAUUACUGGGCGUAAAGGGUGUGAAGGCGGCAGAGUAAGUUAGUGGUGAAAUCCCGGUGCUUAAACACCGGGCCUGCCAUUAAAACUGCUUUGCUCGAGUAGGAAUAGAGGUAGCAGGAAUUUCUAGUGUAGGAGUGAAAUCUGUAGAUAUUAGAAAGAACACCAAAGGCGAAGGCAAGCUACUGGGUACCGACUGACGCUAAUGCACGAAAGCCAGGGGAGCGAACGGGAUUAGAGACCCCGGUAGUCCUGGCCGUAAACGAUGUUCACCAGACUUAUGAUAUAUUGAUAUAUUGUGGGUUGAAGUUAACGCAUUAAGUGAACCGCCUGGGGAGUAUGCACGCAAGUGUGAAACUCAAAGGAAUUGACGGGGGCUCGCACAAGCGGUGGAGCAUGUGGUUUAAUUCGAUGAUAAGCGAAAAACCUUACCUGGGCUUAAACUUGUAUUGAUCGCCUGUGAAAGCAGGUUUCCCUUCGGGGCAGUAUGAGAGGUGCUGCAUGGCUGUCGUCAGCUCGUGUCGUGAGAUGUUGGGUUAAGUCCCGCAACGAGCGCAACCCUUAUCCUAUGUUGCUACGAUCUUUUGAUCAGGACUCUUAGGAGACUGCCCGGGUUAACCGGGAGGAAGGCGAGGAUGACGUCAAGUCCUCAUGGCCCUUAUGUCCAGGGCUACACACGUGCUACAAUGGGAAGUAUAAAGAGCAGCGAAGCCGCGAGGUGGAGCGAAUCUCAAAAAACUUCUCUCAGUUCGGAUCGCAGUCUGCAACUCGACUGCGUGAAGCUGGAAUCGCUAGUAAUCGCGGAUCAGAAUGUCGCGGUGAUACGUUCUCGAGCCUUGUACACACCGCCCGUCACACCACCCGAGUUUAUUUUACCUGAAGUCGCU